UGGGCGUAAAGAGCUCGUAGGCGGUUUGUCGCGUCUGCUGUGAAAUCCCGAGGCUCAACCUCGGGCCUGCAGUGGGUACGGGCAGACUAGAGUGCGGUAGGGGAGAUUGGAAUUCCUGGUGUAGCGGUGGAAUGCGCAGAUAUCAGGAGGAACACCGAUGGCGAAGGCAGAUCUCUGGGCCGUAACUGACGCUGAGGAGCGAAAGGGUGGGGAGCAAACAGGCUUAGAUACCCUGGUAGUCCACCCCGUAAACGUUGGGAACUAGUUGUGGGGUCCAUUCCACGGAUUCCGUGACGCAGCUAACGCAUUAAGUUCCCCGCCUGGGGAGUACGGCCGCAAGGCUAAAACUCAAAGGAAUUGACGGGGACCCGCACAAGCGGCGGAGCAUGCGGAUUAAUUCGAUGCAACGCGAAGAACCUUACCAAGGCUUGACAUAUAGAGGAAACGGCUGGAAACAGUCGCCCCGCAAGGUCUCUAUACAGGUGGUGCAUGGUUGUCGUCAGCUCGUGUCGUGAGAUGUUGGGUUAAGUCCCGCAACGAGCGCAACCCUCGUUCUAUGUUGCCAGCACGUAAUGGUGGGAACUCAUGGGAUACUGCCGGGGUCAACUCGGAGGAAGGUGGGGAUGACGUCAAAUCAUCAUGCCCCUUAUGUCUUGGGCUUCACGCAUGCUACAAUGGCCGGUACAAAGGGCUGCAAUACCGUGAGGUGGAGCGAAUCCCAAAAAGCCGGUCCCAGUUCGGAUUGAGGUCUGCAACUCGACCUCAUGAAGUCGGAGUCGCUAGUAAUCGCAGAUCAGCAACGCUGCGGUGAAUACGUUCCCGGGUCUUGUACACACCGCCCGUCAAGUCAUGAAAGUCGGUAACACCUGAAGCCGGUGGCCCAACCCUUGUGGAGGGAGCCGUCGAAGGG
This 910-nucleotide ribosomal RNA is filed under the name Microbacterium ginsengisoli. Its description in RNAcentral is "bacterial SSU rRNA". It matches the Rfam family "Bacterial small subunit ribosomal RNA", at positions 555 to 1463 of the family's 1533-position model. Lineage: Bacteria; Bacillati; Actinomycetota; Actinomycetes; Micrococcales; Microbacteriaceae. The record is from RNAcentral.